AGAGACAACGCCUGCGGGUAGAGACGAGCGGGGAACACUAGGGCGCUGGCCAGGUAAGCAGCGGCUUUGCCCCCGGCAGGAGGAGGGGGAGGAUGCCGCACCCCGCACAGCAGAGCCCCCUGCCCGACUCUUGACAGUCUGGCCUGAUCCUGACAUGGCACAACCAACACUGCCGUGUACCCAACCCUGGCUUACUUGUCCUGAGUCGCCUUGCCUUGGCCCUGGACCUGGAUCUAUCCCUGGACUUGGAUCUACCCCUGGACUUGGAUCUACCCCUGGACCUGGAUCUAUCCCUGGACUUGGAUCUACCCCUGGACUUGGAUCUACCCCUGGACUUGGAUCUACCCCUGGACUUGGAUCUAUCCCUGGACUUGGAUCUAUCCCUGGACCUGGAUCUAUCCCUGGACCUGGAUCUAUCCCUGGACCUGGAUCUAUCCCUGGACUUGGAUCUAUCCCUGGACUUGGAUCUACCCCUGGACUUGGAUCUACCCCUGGACCUGGAUCUAUCCCUGGACUUG
Molecule: long non-coding RNA, 518 nt
Filed under: Volvox carteri
Lineage: Eukaryota; Viridiplantae; Chlorophyta; Chlorophyceae; Chlamydomonadales; Volvocaceae
Description: long non-coding RNA (VCAR_LNC000858)
Source: RNAcentral